GAUGAACGCUGGCGGCGUGCCUAAUACAUGCAAGUCGAACGCACAGCGAAAGGUGCUUGCACCUUUCAAGUGAGUGGCGAACGGGUGAGUAACACGUGGACAACCUGCCUCAAGGCUGGGGAUAACAUUUGGAAACAGAUGCUAAUACCGAAUAAAACUUAGUGUCGCAUGACACAAAGUUAAAAGGCGCUUCGGCGUCACCUAGAGAUGGAUCCGCGGUGCAUUAGUUAGUUGGUGGGGUAAAGGCCUACCAAGACAAUGAUGCAUAGCCGAGUUGAGAGACUGAUCGGCCACAUUGGGACUGAGACACGGCCCAAACUCCUACGGGAGGCUGCAGUAGGGGAUCUUCCACAAUGGGCGAAAGCCUGAUGGAGCAACGCCGCGUGUGUGAUGAAGGCUUUCGGGUCGUAAAGCACUGUUGUAUGGGAAGAACAGCUAGAAUAGGAAAUGAUUUUAGUUUGACGGUACCAUACCAGAAAGGGACGGCUAAAUACGUG
RNAcentral lists this ribosomal RNA (497 nucleotides) under uncultured bacterium. RNAcentral describes it as "partial 16S ribosomal RNA". It matches the Rfam family "Bacterial small subunit ribosomal RNA", at positions 28 to 507 of the family's 1533-position model. The record is from RNAcentral.